CCCUUAGGAUGCAGAGACCACCAACAUACUCCUUCCUGACUUCAUUGUACCCAACUGGGAUGACAUAAGGGCUUCCCACGUGGCGCUAGUGUUAAAGAACCCUCCUGCCAGUGCAGAGGAGAUAAGAGACGCGGGUUCGAUCUUCUUGGGAAGAUCCCCUGAAAGAGGGCAUGGCCACCCACUCCAGUAUUCUUGCCUGGAGAAUCCCAUGGACAGAGGAGCCUGGCGGACUACGGUCCAUGGGGUCACAGAGUCAGACACGAUGGAAGCAACGCAGCACACAUGCCCGCAAGAUGACAAUAAAUAAGGCCGUUCUGUUUCCAGGACACCCAAAGCAUCUCAGGAGGUGUCAGAAGAUUCUCAGAGAGGGUUGUUGAGAGGCGGUGCAGGACCCAGAGGGAGAACAGACGAAAGCUGAAUUUCGCUGAUGUGGAGAUGACCUGGGAGCCGAAGAUCUGACUUCGGUUCCUGGUUUUUGCCCCUUCCCGCCUCUUGGGCUUGACUCUUUUCUUUCUCUUGUCCUCUGAGGCCUCAGUUUCCCCGCCUGAGAUGUGCAGCCAGAACAGUUUGCUAAUCCACCGCCCAUGGAUGCGCGGAAAAAAUAUUUUGAAUUCCCACCAUCUUUUUUUCCUUUGAAUGAACUUGUUUAUCCGCUGGUCAGGGUCAGAGAGGGUCGAGGAGGAGGAGCAGCGAGGGGAGUGCCAUCCAGCUAAGCUGACAUGACGCGUUGGAAGGUCAGAGCCCACGGACCCCUGGACAGAGGGCCGUGUUGUUGGGCUUCGGAGUGCCCUUCUGGAAGCCAGUGGCCGGGUCUGAUGCAAGCGUGCCAGGAACUCCUGGGCCUGAAGAUCCCUGCUCAGAACAGAGGAGGCAAUGGAUUCUUUUGGAAAGGCUGUCUUUCGGCGUCUCAUCUCCAUGCAGUGGCUGAGCCUAGUGCCCUGUGUAUUUGCACUGGCUGGGACGCUGAAUUCACUGGAGAUAGAAGAAAACCAAGACACUCAAGACCGGCAUCGCCAGCUCCCUGAGGGGAAGGAGAGGUCCAUGGUACCCGAGCGCCACAGCCGCCUCCCCCGACCACCAUCGUCUGCUUUCUAAAUAAACCCCCGAGACGGAGCCGUGGGGGGUUAUAA
This 1130-nucleotide long non-coding RNA is filed under the name Bos indicus x Bos taurus (hybrid cattle). Its description in RNAcentral is "lncRNA (ENSBIXG00000013746.1)". Lineage: Eukaryota; Metazoa; Chordata; Mammalia; Artiodactyla; Bovidae. The record is from RNAcentral.